CCUUGAUUCAGAGCACAGAUAACAAUCACUGUACUUGUUCACUUACAAAAAUAGCUCGCUUGUCAGAGCUGCACAGGGACUGGUGCCAGGGAAAUUCCGUGAGCGGAGGAACGGUUCAGAGAACUGUCUUUGGGUUUCAAGAGCUUCAUGGUCAUAGUUAUCUCAAGUUCACACCCAUCCCCUGGAGUGAUUUCUCUGAAGUUACUGGUGAGAAAUGCAGCUCUGAGAACACGCCACCUCCACACCGCCUCCACACCACCUCCACCCACUCUGGCCAUGCAGGAUCCGCCCCCUCUUCAGUAUCUUUGCUACAACUUCUGCUCUGUUUCACACAGCAGAAACAGCCAUGAGGCAGCUCUCAGUACCUUAGUAGGACCGGUGAUGCCUUUUUUUUUUUUUCCUUAGUCAUAUCUCCAAGCAGAGCAUCAUCACCAGCUUCUGAAUUGGCUUUGACGAACGUUCUUAGCUGUCAAGGAUCCUUUUAACUGUCACUUUGGGCAAGGUUAUGUUAUUGCAGACAUUUUGCAUAUUUAACAAAAAUAAUUUCUAUAGCAGUUUUUUAAAAAAAAUUUAUUGGAUUUGAUGUGUCCAAAGCUGGAAUAUGAUGAACCCAACCAAACCACCUCCUAGAAAGAUGGCUUCUUCAAAAGCAGCUGGGCAGCACUGAAUGCAUCUGGAACUCUUUCCUCUCAUUCAUUCCACCCCACAUGUUCCACCAGUCUUCAGCAUGGCUGUUGCAUCUGAUUGUUUUAUAGUACUCAAUUCUUCCUCUUCGUACUCACUGACAGUAACCUUCCUUGAUUAUGAUUUUCAAUUUGUGACUGAUCACCUUUUCCUUUCAAGAGCAGAGACUCAUCUUUGACCUCAAUGACUUCUCCUUUUCUGAGGCUGAACAUCUUCAAGAUUUAGGGUCAACUCCUCCUCUCUAAACACCUGCAAAAGCAUUUAAAAAUGAGUCAGUUCCAGGGCUUAGUUUUCCUUUAUUAUACCAAAUUUAUUCAUAAUACAUUAUGCAGGUGUUUUGAUGAGAAUCCAGAAACAUCUUGAGACACCAUAUUUCUCUGAAAUGUGAGAAUUUAAAACCAUCGCUGUUCCAGGACAAGUCUUGUGGAUAGAGCUUUUUAUUGCAUUCAUUUGCAUUAUUGUGUUCCCUUCUCAGAACUCCUGUCAAUUAACAACAGCUUGAUCUUGCAGUUGAGAUAGCAGAACCCAGAGAAAAUUCACCCCAAGUCACACACUUGCAAGAUGGUGGAGCCAGGACUAGACCCAGUGUUCUUUCUGCUAGAUCAUUCUGCCUUUUCAGAAUUAAGGACAGAUCAGACAAUACGCUUAUUCCUGAUCGGGCAUAUGACAGGUUCGAGCUGGAGGGGACCCCUCUCUAUACCUAUUUCAACUCCACCUUCCU
This 1405-nucleotide long non-coding RNA is filed under the name Bos indicus x Bos taurus (hybrid cattle). RNAcentral describes it as "lncRNA (ENSBIXG00005013787.1)". The record is from RNAcentral. Lineage: Eukaryota; Metazoa; Chordata; Mammalia; Artiodactyla; Bovidae.